This 497-nucleotide ribosomal RNA is filed under the name uncultured bacterium. RNAcentral describes it as "partial 16S ribosomal RNA". It matches the Rfam family "Bacterial small subunit ribosomal RNA", at positions 28 to 507 of the family's 1533-position model. The record is from RNAcentral.
GAUGAACGCUGGCGGCAUGCCUAAUACAUGCAAGUCGAGCGAACAGACGAGGAGCUGGCUCCUCUGGCGUUAGCGGCGGACGGGUGAGGAACACGUGGAUAACCUACCUAUAAGACUGGGAUAACAUCGGGAAACCGGAUCUAAUACCGGAUAAUAUAUUGAACCUCGAGGGUCAAGAGUGAAAGACGGUUGUGCGUUCACUUAUAGAUGGAUCCGGGCCUCAUUAGCUAGUUGGUAAAGUAACUGCUUACCCACGCAACGAUGCUUAGCCGCCCCGAGAGGGUGAUCGCCCACACUGGCACUGAGACACGGUCCAGACUCCUACGGGAGGCAGCAGUCGGGACUCUUCCGCAAUGCGCGAGAGCCUGAUGGAGCAACGCCGCGUGAGUGAUGAUGCUCUUCGGCUCGUAAAAUGCUGUUAUUCGGAAAGAACUAAUGCUUAAGUACCCAUGAACGUCUUGACGGUACCUAAUCAGUAAGCCCCGGCUAACUCCGUG